Molecule: ribosomal RNA, 436 nt
Filed under: uncultured bacterium
Lineage: Bacteria
Description: bacterial SSU rRNA
Rfam family: Bacterial small subunit ribosomal RNA
Source: RNAcentral
AGCGAACGCUGGCGGCAUGCUUAACACAUGCAAGUCGCACGAACCUUUCGGGGUUAGUGGCGGACGGGUGAGUAACGCGUAGGAAUCUGUCCACGGGUGGGGGAUAACUCUGGGAAACUGGAGCUAAUACCGCAUGAUACCUGAGGGUCAAAGGCGCAAGUCGCCUGUGGAGGAGCCUGCGUUCGAUUAGCUAGUUGGUGGGGUAAAGGCUUACCAAGGCGAUGAUCAGUAAUUGGUUUGAGAGGAUGAUCAAUCACAUUGGAACUGAGACACGGCCCAGACUCCUACGGGAGGCAGCAGUGGGGAAUAUUGGACAAUGGGGGCAACCCUGAUCCAGCAAUGCCGCGUGUGUGAAGAAGGUCUUCGGAUUGUAAAGCACUUUCGACGGGGACGAUGAUGACGGUACCCGUAGAAGAAGCCCCGGCUAACUUCGUGC